RNAcentral lists this transfer RNA (74 nucleotides) under Toxocara canis (dog roundworm). It matches the Rfam family "tRNA". From Rfam's summary of the family: Transfer RNA (tRNA) molecules are approximately 80 nucleotides in length. The record is from Rfam by way of RNAcentral. Lineage: Eukaryota; Metazoa; Nematoda; Chromadorea; Rhabditida; Toxocaridae.
AUGGCAGUAGCUCAGUGGCAGAGCUCCCCCGCUUCGUGCACGGGAAGACCUGGGUUCGAUUCCCAGCUGCUUUC